This 254-nucleotide ribosomal RNA is filed under the name uncultured bacterium. RNAcentral's name for it is "partial 16S ribosomal RNA". It matches the Rfam family "Bacterial small subunit ribosomal RNA", at positions 524 to 776 of the family's 1533-position model. The record is from RNAcentral.
UACGUAGGGUGCAAGCGUUAAUCGGAAUUACUGGGCGUAAAGCGUGCGCAGGCGGUUUUGUAAGUUUGUCGUGAAAUCCCCGGGCUCAACCUGGGAAUUGCGAUGAAGACUGCAAGGCUAGAAUCUGGCAGAGGGGGGUAGAAUUCCACGUGUAGCAGUGAAAUGCGUAGAGAUGUGGAGGAACACCAAUGGCGAAGGCAGCUCGCUGGGACGUGACUGACGCUGAGACGGCGAAAGCGUGGGGAGCAAACAGG